GCUGGGCUUGGUGGCGCAUGCCUUUAAUCCCAGCAGCUUGGGAGGCUGAGGCAGGAGGAUCACGAGUUCAAGGCCAGCCUCAGCAAUUUAGUGAGGCCCUAAGCAAUUUAGUGAGACCCUGUCUCUA
This 127-nucleotide small RNA is filed under the name Marmota monax (woodchuck). The record is from RNAcentral. Lineage: Eukaryota; Metazoa; Chordata; Mammalia; Rodentia; Sciuridae.